GAUGAACGCUGGCGGCGUGCUUAACACAUGCAAGUCGAGCGAAGCACUCUGUCCGGAUUCUUUCGGGAUGACGGACUUAGUGACUGAGCGGCGGACGGGUGAGUAACGCGUGGGUAACCUGCCUCAUACAGGGGGAUAACAGUUAGAAAUGACUGCUAAUACCGCAUAAGACCACAGUACCGACUAGUACGUACGGUAAACGGGUAAACCGUCCGGGUAGUAGUAGGAAGUAGUACCGGACCCGUCGUCGUAGUAA
This 256-nucleotide ribosomal RNA is filed under the name uncultured bacterium. RNAcentral describes it as "partial 16S ribosomal RNA". It matches the Rfam family "Bacterial small subunit ribosomal RNA", at positions 28 to 260 of the family's 1533-position model. The record is from RNAcentral.